CCAUUCUAGUAUUCUAAUUCCUAUGUUGAAUAACCCCUUUUGGUUCCAGGUAGAAGAACCUAUCGGGUUCCAGGUAGAACCCUUUUGGGUUCCAUGUCCAUCUCCUUUCAAAGAGGGUUCGACCUGGAACCAAAAGGGAGUCUCCUAUGGGGACAGCCGCAAAACCUUUUUGGAACCCUUUUUUCGAGUAGUGUAGAUAUCAUAAAUUGAAACGUCCUUCCUACUUUACCCGAUCGACUACCAAUGUUGUUCUUCUGCGAGCUGCUCCAUGAGACAACCAGUUGAGAGCUGCAGGCUGUGGCUGCCUGACAGAUGAUAUUCCGCUGAAACUAGGGCUCAAGAUCAACAGAGGUGACUAAUGGAGACUGUCUGGAGAGAAGCAAGGGUCUUCGGCCUGCCAGGAAGAGAAGGCUCCUGAGUCCUGAUAUCUUUCUCUCUCUCUUGUUUGGAGCCUGCCCAGAAACAGGGAAUUAUCAUUCAGUUUGACCAGCCAGACAUAUUCCCUGGUUCACAAGAACAAGGCCGUCUCUAGUCUUUGAAGUCACUAUGCAACUUAAAUAAAAGUUUCUUUGAUGUGCCGAA
Molecule: long non-coding RNA, 582 nt
Organism: Oncorhynchus kisutch (coho salmon)
Lineage: Eukaryota; Metazoa; Chordata; Actinopteri; Salmoniformes; Salmonidae
Exons: 2
Source: RefSeq, a predicted model, not a curated record